Molecule: ribosomal RNA, 305 nt
Filed under: uncultured bacterium
Lineage: Bacteria
Description: bacterial SSU rRNA
Rfam family: Bacterial small subunit ribosomal RNA
Source: RNAcentral
CCUACGGGGGGCAGCAGUGGGGGAUAUUGCACAAUGGGGGAAACCCUGAUGCAGCAACGCCGCGUGAAGGAAGAAGGCUUUCGGGUUGUAAACUUCUUUUGUCAGGGACGAAGCAAGUGACGGUACCUGACGAAUAAGCCACGGCUAACUACGUGCCAGCAGCCGCGGUAAUACGUAGGUGGCAAGCGUUAUCCGGAUUUACUGGGUGUAAAGGGAGCGUAGACGGCGGUGCAAGCCAGAUGUGAAAGCCCGGGGCUCAACCCCGGGACUGCAUUUGGAACUGUGCUGCUAGAGUGUCGGAGAGG